GUGGGGAAUAUUGGACAAUGGGCGAAAGCCUGAUCCAGCCAUGCCGCGUGUGUGAAGAAGGUCUUCGGAUUGUAAAGCACUUUAAGUUGGGAGGAAGGGCAGUAAGUUAAUACCUUGCUGUUUUGACGUUACCGCCAGAAUAAGCACCGGCUAACUUCGUGCCAGCAGCCGCGGUAAUACGAAGGGUGCAAGCGUUAAUCGGAAUUACUGGGCGUAAAGCGCGCGUAGGUGGUUCAGUAAGUUGGAAGUGAAAUCCCCGGGCUCAACCUAGGAACUGCUUUCAAAACUGCUGAGCUAGAGUACGGUAGAGGGUGGUGGAAUUUCCUGUGUAGCGGUGAAAUGCGUAGAUAUAGGAAGGAACACCAGUGGCGAAGGCGACCACCUGGACUGAUACUGACACUGAGGUGCGAAAGCGUGGGGAGCAAACAGGAUUAGAUACCCGUGUAGUCC
RNAcentral lists this ribosomal RNA (450 nucleotides) under uncultured bacterium. Its description in RNAcentral is "partial 16S ribosomal RNA". It matches the Rfam family "Bacterial small subunit ribosomal RNA", at positions 354 to 796 of the family's 1533-position model. The record is from RNAcentral.